ACAGACGAGUUUGAUCCUGGCUCAGAACGAACGCUGGCGGCAGGCCUAACACAUGCAAGUCGAGCGCCCCAGCGAUGGGAGCGGCGGACGGGUGAGUAACGCGUGGGAACGUGCCUCUUGCUACGGAAUAGCCUCGGGAAACUGGGAGUAAUACCGUAUGUGCCCUACGGGGGAAAGAUUUAUCGGCAAGAGAUCGGCCCGCGUUGGAUUAGGUAGUUGGUGGGGUAAUGGCCUACCAAGCCGACGAUCCAUAGCUGGUUUGAGAGGAUGAUCAGCCACACUGGGACUGAGACACGGCCCAGACUCCUACGGGAGGCAGCAGUGGGAAUCUUAGACAAUGGGCGCAAGCCUGAUCUAGCCAUGCCGCGUGAGCGAUGAAGGCCUUAGGGUUGUAAAGCUCUUCAGUGGGGAAGAUAAUGACUGUACCCACAGAAGAAGCCCCGGCUAACUCCGUG
This 455-nucleotide ribosomal RNA is filed under the name uncultured bacterium. RNAcentral's name for it is "bacterial SSU rRNA". It matches the Rfam family "Bacterial small subunit ribosomal RNA", at positions 1 to 507 of the family's 1533-position model. The record is from RNAcentral.